Molecule: long non-coding RNA, 1270 nt
Filed under: Homo sapiens (human)
Lineage: Eukaryota; Metazoa; Chordata; Mammalia; Primates; Hominidae
Description: HSALNT0368302
Source: RNAcentral
ACUUGUCCCGGUGCUUGGAUUGCAGCACAUGGGCCAGCUCGCGCAGGUGGCCCCGGUGCCGCUGUUCAUCGGGCCGCGCGGGGAAGGCGGCGGCCAAGAUGCGCUCCGUCACGUAGGGUGGAGAGAAACUAGGAGAAAAGCACAGGAUGUAGAGGUCUAUUCGGCAUAAUCUUCUCCCUCAUUUUCAUCUUCACCAUCAACAGAGAGAGCAGCAUACUUGCUUGCAGAACUGAACUUCUGUAACACAACGAGAGUGACAGGAUAAUGAAGGCCCUGAAUUAUCACAUCAAAACCCAAGACACAGGAUACUGAUCCUUUGGCAAUGGGGGAUGACAGUCAGAUGACACCCACUUGCUUGCUCAUCAGCAUUGUCCAUUGGAGAGGAGCUAGGGAAGAGGGUCAGAGGCACAUGCGAUCUUACUAUAGUCUCAUACCACCUCUACACCUUGCAGAAGGGAUGAGAACAAAGGAAGACAGAAACCAGGAAAAAGCUAAACUUCUUUCGCUAUUUCAGUAAAGACCAAUGUCUUAUUUCCAAACACUUUGUAUUCCAAAUGGAAAGAAGUCCAACGGCAAAAAGUUUAGAAUACUAAGAAUUUUUAAUUCUUAGUAAGAAUACUUAGAAUUCUAAGAAUUUUUCUUAGAAUGAAAAAUUGGGAGCAGCCUUCAACACUUACGGAAGCUGGAUUUUCCUCAGGUUUCUUUGGCUCAGGUGCAGAUCUGGAGUCUUGAUCCUUUUUGCCAUCUUUCCUGCAGAGACGUAAGCAUAAAACCAUGUCUUUAGGAAAGGACUCGCCUAAUACAAACAUGUGUAUGCAUGCAGUUUCAAGGCACUGAACAGGCACCUCUAGUCAACAGUCCUUGUUGUCUGGAUGAUGUAUUACUUCUAGAUUUUCAGAAUCUUAACUGUCUACGUUGGCUGACUUUAGUUUGCUCACAAUGAGCGAUCUGGCAGUGCUCUGAGAACCAAGAACUUAAUUUCUUAAUUACACAAACAUGUGGAUCAGAGGAAAGAUGAGAAAGAGAACAAGCAUACCUAUCUGACUCCUUCCAGUGGUCUCUGUUCCCUCCGUCGCCUGGACCACGGCUAGAGUUCCCAGUUUGGCCUUUUGGGGCAUUCAUCCCAUCUACUUUAUUUUCAUCUGCUUGGGCAGUAAUGUAAACAAAUUAAAGGCAAGUAAAAGUAUCAAUGUCCCUCUCCUAAGAUUUCCCUUAAGCUGAAGAAAAUUGUGCCCACAUGUACUGAGGGAAACUAACCUCACCCCAACCC